This 427-nucleotide ribosomal RNA is filed under the name uncultured Thermomonas sp. RNAcentral's name for it is "bacterial SSU rRNA". It matches the Rfam family "Bacterial small subunit ribosomal RNA", at positions 355 to 774 of the family's 1533-position model. The record is from RNAcentral. Lineage: Bacteria; Pseudomonadati; Pseudomonadota; Gammaproteobacteria; Lysobacterales; Lysobacteraceae.
UAGGGAAUAUUGGACAAUGGGCGCAAGCCUGAUCCAGCCAUGCCGCGUGAGUGAAGAAGGCCCUCGGGUUGUAAAGCUCUUUUGUCCGGAAAGAAAAGCGCCGGGUUAAUACCCUGGUGUCCUGACGGUACCGGAAGAAUAAGCACCGGCUAACUUCGUGCCAGCAGCCGCGGUAAUACGAAGGGUGCAAGCGUUACUCGGAAUUACUGGGCGUAAAGCGUGCGUAGGUGGUUCGUUAAGUCCGAUGUGAAAGCCCUGGGCUCAACCUGGGAAUGGCAUUGGAUACUGGCGGGCUAGAGUGCGGUAGAGGAUAGUGGAAUUCCUGGUGUAGCAGUGAAAUGCGUAGAGAUCAGGAGGAACAUCCGUGGCGAAGGCGACUGUCUGGACCAGCACUGACACUGAGGCACGAAAGCGUGGGGAGCAAACA